This 398-nucleotide ribosomal RNA is filed under the name uncultured bacterium. Its description in RNAcentral is "bacterial SSU rRNA". It matches the Rfam family "Bacterial small subunit ribosomal RNA", at positions 362 to 776 of the family's 1533-position model. The record is from RNAcentral.
UAUUGCACAAUGGGGGAAACCCUGAUGCAGCGACGCCGCGUGAGUGAAGAAGUAUUGCGGUAUGUAAAGCUCAAUCAGCAGGGAAGAAAAAAGACGGUACCUGACUAAGAAGCCCCGGCUAACUACGUGCCAGCAGCCGCGGUAAUACGUAGGGGGCAAGCGUUAUCCGGAUGUACUGGGUGGAAAGGGAGCGUAGACGGCGCGGCAAGUCGGAAGUGAAAGGCAGGGGCUUAACCCCUGAACUGCUUUGGAAACUGCCAUUCUAGAGUGCUGGAGAGGUAAGUGGAAUUCCUAGUGUAGCGGUGAAAUGCGUAGAUAUUAGGAGGAACACCAGUGGCGAAGGCGGCUUACUGGACAGUAACUGACGUUGAGGCUCGAAAGCGUGGGGAGCAAACAGG